This 253-nucleotide ribosomal RNA is filed under the name uncultured bacterium. RNAcentral describes it as "partial 16S ribosomal RNA". It matches the Rfam family "Bacterial small subunit ribosomal RNA", at positions 524 to 776 of the family's 1533-position model. The record is from RNAcentral.
GACGUAGGGGGCCAGCGUUGUUCGGAAUUACUGGGUGGAAAGGGUUCGUAGGCGGUGUAGCAAGUCGGGAGUGAAAUCUCUGGGCUUAACCCAGAGGCUGCUUCCGAAACUGCUGUGCUUGAGUGUGGGAGAGGCGCGUGGAAUUGCAGGUGUAGCGGUGAAAUGCGUAGAUAUCUGCAGGAACACCCGUGGCGAAAGCGGCGCGCUGGACCACUACUGACGCUGAGGAACGAAAGCAUGGGGAGCGAACAGG